Musca domestica (house fly) is the source of this 654-nucleotide long non-coding RNA. RefSeq lists it as uncharacterized. The transcript has 2 exons. NCBI's taxonomy places the organism in Eukaryota, Metazoa, Arthropoda, Insecta, Diptera, Muscidae. The record is from RefSeq and is a predicted model, not a curated record.
CACAAAUGUAGCGACGGAAAUCAACAGCCCAGCAACUAGAGACCGACCCCCCUACGAAAAAAGCUGAACAAAAAUCGGUUAUACAAAUAUCUAUUUCUAUCGUUUGGAUAGAUAACAGGCCGAUAAAAAAAACAACCGGGCUAGUAAACAAUUAACAACAAAUGUUCAUAUACACACACACACAUGCAUAUAUAUAGUCACACUUGUUUAAAUAUAUCCCAACAUACCAAAAAUACAAUAUAGCUUGAGAACAAUAUUAUAAAAAUAUAAUUUUAAUAUAAUUUUUCAACAAUGCUUGAGAAACACUUAUGUUCCAUAAACUUUUCUCAAAUCUGUCCUUUGUUGACAAAUUAGUUUUGAUUUUUUGUGAAAAUUGUCAGAAAGAAAUUAUUUUCUUUGGCAAAAAACAAAAUCACGCGAAUUUAGGACCCAUUUCUGGACCGAACCCUUAAGAUCGGAAGCAUCAAAAAAGUAGCAGGAAUUCAAUAGAUGUGUAGUCUUAGUGGAAGAGAUGCAGAAGUUCAAAUAAGGGAGAAGAAAGCGUCAGGGUAUCAAGGCCACAUGAGGCAGUGACUACUGGGAUGUCCAUCAAGAAAAAAAUGUUAAAAAUGAUUAAAAACUAAAAAAAUAAUAUUUUAUACUAUUACAAAAAUA